RNAcentral lists this ribosomal RNA (486 nucleotides) under uncultured Mycoplasmatota bacterium. RNAcentral describes it as "bacterial SSU rRNA". It matches the Rfam family "Bacterial small subunit ribosomal RNA", at positions 94 to 570 of the family's 1533-position model. The record is from RNAcentral. Lineage: Bacteria; Bacillati; Mycoplasmatota.
AGUGGCGAACGGGUGAGUAACACGUAGAUAACCUGCCCUUAAGACGAGGAUAACCAUUGGAAACGAUGGCUAAAACUGGAUAGGAAUAUUGGAGGCAUCUCUGAUAUUUUAAAAGGCCUAGCAAUAAGUAUGCUUAAGGAGGGGUCUGCGGCGCAUUAGUUAGUUGGUGAGGUGAUGGCUUACCAAGACGAUGAUGCGUAGCCGGACUGAGAGGUUGAACGGCCACAUUGGGACUGAGAGACGGCCCAAACUCCUACGGGAGGCAGCAGUAGGGAAUUUUCGGCAAUGGGGGAAACCCUGACCGAGCAACGCCGCGUGAAUGACGAAGUACUUCGGUAUGUAAAGUUCUUUUAUUGGGGAAGAAUGGCUAGCGGAAAAGCUAGAUUGACGGUACCUGAUGAAUAAGCCCCGGCUAACUAUGUGCCAGCAGCCGCGGUAAUACAUAGGGGGCAAGCGUUAUCCGGAAUUAUUGGGCGUAAAGGGUGC